CCCUGGGGAGAGCAGCUUCCUAGCCGUGGACGGUGAUGCCGGCUGUUCACGCAGGCGGUGGUUCAAGACCAAGUGCUGACCUGCAGGAAGAGGCAUGCGGUCUCACUGUGUCACCUGCUGAGCGGAACCUCCCUCCUCCUCGGGGACCCGCGUGGAAGCCUGGCCUUGGGUCCCUCUGCCCUGGCCCCGGGCACACAGCUGCUCCCCUGUCGAAACUGCACAGGAAGCAAGCGAAGCAUGGGGCCAGAGACGCCCACGAGCGGCAGCUCUGCUGCAGGAGCUGGUCUUGGUUGGCACCAGUCGAGCUUCUCCUUCCCACCUUCUCCAAACAGACAGUCGGUCACUGCUGAGCAAAGCAGG
Molecule: long non-coding RNA, 360 nt
Filed under: Sus scrofa (pig)
Lineage: Eukaryota; Metazoa; Chordata; Mammalia; Artiodactyla; Suidae
Description: lncRNA (ENSSSCG00070013756.1)
Source: RNAcentral